RNAcentral lists this long non-coding RNA (782 nucleotides) under Heterocephalus glaber (naked mole-rat). RNAcentral's name for it is "lncRNA (ENSHGLG00000047959.1)". The record is from RNAcentral. Lineage: Eukaryota; Metazoa; Chordata; Mammalia; Rodentia; Bathyergidae.
CACAGAUUCCUGACUAGGAACAGUUAGUGGAGAUGACUUUUUUUCUGCUUAAGCAGGGAAGUGUUUUUAGGAAGUCAGAUUUUUUUAUUAAGAAAAAUGCAGUUGUGAGAUGAAAGUGAAAAGGUAGCUCUAGGAAUCACAGGACAGUGUGGAUAAAAAUGAGCAAAAGCAGAACAGUUGAGCGUGGCUAUAUUGACCUAUCUAGGCAGGAAAAGGGAGGGGAGAGAGCCGAGGAUAUAUUGUGCCAAGAGAAUGAAGUCACACUGUGAAUAAUUGAGAAGCUGAUAAGAGAGAAAGAAAAAGGAUAACAGGCGCAGUGGUGAUUGAGCAUGACUUUAAUGAAGCCUUUUAGAUGAAUGGUUUAAUAGAGAGAGGAAUGCAAACAAGCAAUUAUUGUCAUAGGGGAAGAAUGGACAUGUUCUGGUAAUAGAAAAUUGAAGGGGUUUCUUUCCACACAGACAAAUCUGAAGGCAAUGUAAAAUCAAAAGAAAAUGGAGAUUCUCAGGUUAGUGAGAAAUGCAGCUUGCAUUUCUACAAAAAUAUAAAAUUUAAUAAGGGAGAAACUUUGGAAAAAAGACUGACAACAUUUUCUUCAUUUUAAGCCCCUGGUGGAUGCAAAGCAGAUCCAUUCCAGAGCAUCAUCCCAAGCAGUGGACUGACCCGUACUGCAGUAGGAAUCCAAGACAAGACUCCAGUCUUCUCUCUACCACCAAGGCAGAAUGGAUCCUGCACAGAAUGCCACAGUGUAUUUUUGUUCCUUGACUGUUUAACAUAGGGCCCAC